GGGUGCGUAGGCGGUACGGUAAGUCUGUAGUAAAAGGCGGCAGCUCAACUGUCGUAGGCUAUGGAAACUGUCGAACUAGAGUGCAGAAGAGGGCGAUGGAACUCCAUGUGUAGCGGUAAAAUGCGUAGAUAUAUGGAAGAACACCAGUGGCGAAGGCGGUCGCCUGGUCUGUAACUGACGCUGAAGCACGAAAGCGUGGGGAGCAAAUAGGAUUAGAUACCCUAGUAGUCCACGCCGUAAACGAUGAGAACUAAGUGUUGGGGGAAUAACUCAGUGCUGCAGUUAACGCAAUAAGUUCUCCGCCUGGGGAGUAUGCACGCAAGUGUGAAACUCAAAGGAAUUGACGGGGGCCCGCACAAGCGGUGGAGUAUGUGGUUUAAUUCGAAGCAACGCGAAGAACCUUACCAGGCCUUGACAUCCCCGGCGAAGACAUGGAGACAUGUCGGAGGUUAACCGGGAGACAGGUGGUGCAUGGUUGUCGUCAGCUCGUGUCGUGAGAUGUUGGGUUAAGUCCCGCAACGAGCGCAACCCUUGUGAUAUGUUACUAACAGUAAGAUGAGGACUCAUAUCAGACUGCCGGUGACAAACCGGAGGAAGGUGGGGAUGACGUCAAAUCAUCAUGCCCCUUAUGGCCUGGGCUACACACGUACUACAAUGGCGGCUACAAAGAGCGGCGAACCCGCGAGGGGGAGCGAAUCUCAUAAAGGUCGUCUCAGUUCGGAUUGAAGUCUGCAACCCGACUUCAUGAAGUUGGAAUCGCUAGUAAUCGCGAAUCAGCAUGUCGCGGUGAAUACGUUCUCGGGCCUUGUACACACCGCCCGUCAAACCAUGGGAGUUGGUAAUACCCGAAGCCGGUGGCAUACC
This 864-nucleotide ribosomal RNA is filed under the name Streptococcus sp. TATAC-39. Its description in RNAcentral is "bacterial SSU rRNA". It matches the Rfam family "Bacterial small subunit ribosomal RNA", at positions 565 to 1439 of the family's 1533-position model. The record is from RNAcentral. Lineage: Bacteria; Bacillati; Bacillota; Bacilli; Lactobacillales; Streptococcaceae.